Molecule: ribosomal RNA, 1440 nt
Filed under: metagenome
Description: SSU rRNA
Rfam family: Eukaryotic small subunit ribosomal RNA
Source: RNAcentral
UCUGGUUGAUCCUGCCAGUAGUCAUACGCUUGUCUCAAAGAUUAAGCCAUGCAUGUCUAAGUAUAAAGGUUACAUACAAUGAAACUGCGAAUGGCUCAUUCAAACAGUUAUAGUUUAUUUGGAUUUACACAUUAGUUAAAUGGAUAACCGUAGUAAUUCUAGGGCUAAUACAUGCGUUACGGGGGACUUUACGGAACCCCAGUAUUUAUUAGAUUCAAACCAAUAUUCCGAAGGUCUACUUGAGAUGAUUCAUGAUAACUGAUCGAAUUGCUGGCCUACCGGCAAUAAGUCAUUCAUGUUUCUGCUUCCCAUCAGCUUGAUGGUAGUGUAUUGGACAACCAUGGCAUUCACGGGCUAUCGGGGGAUUAGGGUUCGAUUCCGGAGAGGGAGCCUGAGAAACGGCUACCACUUCUACGGAAGGCAGCAGGCGCGAAAAUUAUCCAAUCCUGAUUCAGGGAGGUAGUGAAACAAAUAAUGAACUAGGAUUUAUCCUGGGGCCACAAUGGGCUUGAUUUGCAAACUUUAUUUAGCGAGGAACAAUUGGAGGGCAAGUCUGGUGCCAGCAGCCGCGGUAAUUCCAGCUCCAAUAGUGUAUAUUAAUGUUCCUGCAGUUAUUCGAUGCUCGUAGUUGGAUUUCUGGAGGCUGAGAUCGGAGGGUAGCCAAGGUUACCGCUGAACUCUUCCUUCAUCCACCUGUUAACGUUGUCCGGGAUUCGUUUCUCGGCUUCGGGCUCAGGCAUAUACUUUUACCCUUUUUCUAUAUUUAUUGUUUUGAGUAAAUUAUAGUGUUUCAGGCAGGCGUGCGCCGGAAUACUUUAGCAUGGAAUAAUCGAAUUGGACCGUGUAUUCUUAUUGAAUUCUUCCUUAUUGUUGGUUCAAGGACACGGAAAUGGUUAAUAGGGAUAGUGUUUUUAUUAUCAGGGGAGGCAUUAGUAUUUAAUUUCCAGAGGUGAAAUUCUUUGAAAUAUUAAAGACUAACUUAUGCGAAAGCAUUUAUUAUUGCCAAUAAUGUUUUCAUUAAUCAUUGAACGAAAGUUAGGGGAUCAAAGACGAUCAGAUACCGUCCUAGUCUUAACCAUAAACGUUGCCGACUAGGGAUCGGAGGGCGUGCACAUUCCGCCUUCGGCACCUUACGAGAAAUCAAAGUCUUUUGGGUUCUGGGGGUAGUAUGGUCGCAAGGCUGAAACUUAAAGGAAUUGACGGAAGGGCACCACCAGGAGUGGAGCUUGCGGCUCAAUUUGACUCAACACGGGAAAUCUUACCAGGUCCAGACAUAGCGAGGAUUGACAGAUUGAUAGCUCUUUCUUGAUUCUAUGGGUAUUUUAUAUAUAUUUUGGUGGUGCAUGGCCGUUCUUAGUUGGUGGAGUGAUUUGUCUGGUUAAUUCCGUUAAACGAACGAGACCUCAGCCUGCUAAAUAGUUACCUGUCUUUUCAUUUUCU